RNAcentral lists this transfer RNA (62 nucleotides) under Ictidomys tridecemlineatus (thirteen-lined ground squirrel). Its description in RNAcentral is "Spermophilus tridecemlineatus (thirteen-lined ground squirrel) tRNA". It matches the Rfam family "tRNA". From Rfam's summary of the family: Transfer RNA (tRNA) molecules are approximately 80 nucleotides in length. Their secondary structure includes four short double-helical elements and three loops (D, anti-codon, and T loops). Lineage: Eukaryota; Metazoa; Chordata; Mammalia; Rodentia; Sciuridae. The record is from Rfam by way of RNAcentral.
AGGGUUGUAGCUCAGUGGUAGAGCACCUACCUAGAAUGUGUGAGGUACUGUGUUCAACCCUU